UACGGAGGAUGCGAGCGUUAUCCGGAUUUAUUGGGUUUAAAGGGUGCGCAGGCGGAAGAUCAAGUCAGCGGUAAAAUUGAGAGGCUCAACCUCUUCGAGCCGUUGAAACUGGUUUUCUUGAGUGAGCGAGAAGUACGCGGAAUGCGCGGUGUAGCGGUGAAAUGCUUAGAUAUCGCGCAGAACCCCGAUUGCGAAGGCAGCGUACCGGCUCCACACUGACGCUGAGGCACGAAAGCGUGGGUAUCGAACAGG
RNAcentral lists this ribosomal RNA (252 nucleotides) under uncultured Bacteroidales bacterium. RNAcentral describes it as "partial 16S ribosomal RNA". It matches the Rfam family "Bacterial small subunit ribosomal RNA", at positions 524 to 776 of the family's 1533-position model. Lineage: Bacteria; Pseudomonadati; Bacteroidota; Bacteroidia; Bacteroidales. The record is from RNAcentral.